UAGGUGACCUGCGGAAGGAUCAUUACAACAAGGUUCCCUGGCCCUCGAAGCUUCGGCGGAGGGGGCUACAGCCUGACUUUAUACCCACCCUUUGCCUAUGUGUACCCCUAUUGCUUCCCUCGGCGGGUUCGCCCGCCGACAGGAACCAACUAAACCCUUUGCAUUAUACAUUUAACACUUCCGAUACAAAACUAAAUUAUUACAACUUUUAACAAUGGAUCUCUUGGUUCUGGCAUCGAUGAAGAACGCAGCGAAAUGCGAUAAGUAGUGUGAAUUGCAGAAUUCAGUGAAUCAUCGAAUCUUUGAACGCACAUUGCGCCCCUCGGUAUUCCGUGGGGCAUGCCUGUUCGAGCGUCAUUUACACCCUCAAGCUAUGCUUGGUGUUGGGCGUCUGUCCCGCCUUCGUGCGCGGACUCGCCUCAAAGUCAUUGGCAGCGGUCUCGUCGGCUUCUCGCGCAGCACAUUUGCGCUUCUCGGAGCCCCGGCGGAUCAGCGUCCAGCAAGCGAUUUCAUGACUUGACCUCGGAUCAGGUAGGGAUACCCGCUGAACUUAAGCAUAUCAAUAAGCGGAGGAAAAGAAACCAACAGGGAUUGCCCUAGUAACGGCGAGUGAAGCGGCAACAGCUCAAAUUUGAAAUCUGGCUCUUUCAGGGUCCGAGUUGUAAUUUGCAGAGGGUGCUUUGGUGUUGGCGGCGGUCUAAGUUCCUUGGAACAGGACAUCGCAGAGGGUGAGAAUCCCGUAUGUGGUCGCCUGCCUUCGC
This 761-nucleotide ribosomal RNA is filed under the name fungal endophyte. Its description in RNAcentral is "eukaryotic LSU rRNA". The stretch from base 518 to 761 matches the Rfam family "Eukaryotic large subunit ribosomal RNA", at positions 1 to 242 of the family's 3401-position model. Lineage: Eukaryota; Fungi. The record is from RNAcentral.